This 544-nucleotide ribosomal RNA is filed under the name Bacteroides fragilis. Its description in RNAcentral is "bacterial SSU rRNA". It matches the Rfam family "Bacterial small subunit ribosomal RNA", at positions 146 to 690 of the family's 1533-position model. The record is from RNAcentral. Lineage: Bacteria; Pseudomonadati; Bacteroidota; Bacteroidia; Bacteroidales; Bacteroidaceae.
GCCUUUCGAAAGAAAGAUUAAUACCCGAUAGCAUAAUGAUUCCGCAUGGUUUCAUUAUUAAAGGAUUCCGGUAAAGGAUGGGGAUGCGUUCCAUUAGGUUGUUGGUGAGGUAACGGCUCACCAAGCCUCGAUGGAUAGGGGUUCUGAGAGGAAGGUCCCCCACAUUGGAACUGAGACACGGUCCAAACUCCUACGGGAGGCAGCAGUGAGGAAUAUUGGUCAAUGGGCGCUAGCCUGAACCAGCCAAGUAGCGUGAAGGAUGAAGGCUCUAUGGGUCGUAAACUUCUUUUAUAUAAGAAUAAAGUGCAGUAUGUAUACUGUUUUGUAUGUAUUAUAUGAAUAAGGAUCGGCUAACUCCGUGCCAGCAGCCGCGGUAAUACGGAGGAUCCGAGCGUUAUCCGGAUUUAUUGGGUUUAAAGGGAGCGUAGGUGGACUGGUAAGUCAGUUGUGAAAGUUUGCGGCUCAACCGUAAAAUUGCAGUUGAUACUGUCAGUCUUGAGUACAGUAGAGGUGGGCGGAAUUCGUGGUGUAGCGGUGAAAUGCU